GAUUCUCUCGAGUCCGCGACAAGUGCAUACACAACCAAUAAAGCCGACACGACCCCUCAAAAUGUUAUCUGUCAUCCUGAUGUCUCCAUCUCUGUGGAGCGUGGUACUGUGAAAACACCCGUGUUCUUCGCCGAGCCUUCUGCUGAUGAUAUAUCAGGCAACUUUACACUGUACUAUAGAUCUCACGCCCCAGGUGACGAAUUCCCGUUAGGAUCAACUUCAAUCUUGUAUACGUUUGCUGACGGGAGUGGAAAUCUUGAAUUCUGCGGCUUCGUGAUUUAUAUCGAAGCCUAUGACUUCCAUUACCCCUUGGGCCUGCAGAGUGGAAUAAUUCCAGAUUCAAGUUUGACGGCUUCAAGUUCAUGGAGGAGCAGUUCUUAUGACUGUUCAGCGCAAAGGGUGCGUUUAUUCACUGUCAUUGAAAUCAAAAAUGACACAACAAUUUGUGGAGGUUGGGUGG
Molecule: long non-coding RNA, 460 nt
Organism: Lytechinus variegatus (green sea urchin)
Lineage: Eukaryota; Metazoa; Echinodermata; Echinoidea; Temnopleuroida; Toxopneustidae
Exons: 3
Source: RefSeq, a predicted model, not a curated record